This is a long non-coding RNA of Papio anubis (olive baboon), 1735 nucleotides long. NCBI's taxonomy places the organism in Eukaryota, Metazoa, Chordata, Mammalia, Primates, Cercopithecidae. The record is from Ensembl.
AAACGAUCUCAGGUGCUAAACAAGGAAGCACACUACAGACUGGUGAGUCCACAUUUAAAAAUAUGAUGGGCUAGCUGGGUGCAGUGGCUCACGCCUGUAAUCCCAGCACUUUGGGAGGCCAAUGCGGGUGGAUCACGAGGUCAGGAGUUCGAGACCAUCCUGGCUAACACGGUGAAAACCUGUGUCUACUAAAAAUACAAAGAAUUAGCCAGACAUGGUGGGGGCGCCUGUAGUCCCAGCUACUAGGGAGGCUGAGGCAGGGGAAUGGCGUGAAUCUGGGAGGCGGAGCUUGCAAGGAGCCGAGAUCAGGCCACUGCACUCCAGCCUGGGCGACAGAGCGAGACUCCGUCUCACAAAAAAAUAAAAUAAAUAAAAAAAGAUGGGUUGAGAGGAAGGGCCCCAGACUCUGCGAUGUGUUAAAUGAACAAACAAAACAGCCCCCUGAAAAGUGGCCUUUGGAGUUCAGCAACCCUACUCUGAAUCCCAGAAAUUCUUUUUGCCACUUUUGAGUUUUACAAUCAGGAAAAAAAUAAUUAACAUUUAAUAAGGAUCACAUACACCAUUCAUCGAAUAGGCUAUUAAGAUUUAUCUUGUGAGAUUUUAAGGAUUAGGUUAGUAGUUUAGGUGCUAACAGGUAUCCAAUAAAUUAUGGAUGUUACUUUUUAUUUGUUACCAUUUUCAUGUUUCUAGUUAUAUCGGUCUUCUUUGAGAUAACUUUAUAUGGAGGAUGGAAAACCUCCCAGGAGUCCGUGGAAGAAAAGGAUGCAGUGACCUGGGUUCAUCUGGGUGGAAAGAGCAGCCCCGGCACAUGGGUUAGUGGACUCUGCUCCAAGGCGUUUCUCCAAGGGCAGAACACACGAACCAACAUCCAAGAGUGAAACUUGCUGCAGAAUUACUGAACUGCCGAAGGAAAUCAUUGUUCCACUCACCCAUCUACAACUUGCUCCCACAGAGAUUCACAAUGAGAGGGAGAAGAGAAAAAUAAUUUUGAUAAUGUGUACAUCUUUUCCAUUCCCAAAGUUUUCUCCUUGUGAAGAGAGGUCAAAAUAAUACGAUGCCUGGUUAUUCUCCACCUGCUUGCUCAUUAAAGAGGUCCUCAUAUUGUUGGUCAGUCUUGGAAGAAUCAGUGUGUGUGUGUAUUAUUCUGCCUAGGCUGCUAUAACAAAAUACCGAAGCCUGGGUGGCUUAAACAACCGACAAUUAUUUGUCACAAUUCUGGGGGCUGAAAGUCCAAGAUCUAGGUACCAGAGGAUUCAGUUCCUGAUGAGGGCUCUCUUCCUGGCUUGCAGAAAGUCAUCUUCUCCCUGUGUCCUCACAUGGUGGAGAGCGAGAAGAAACAAGCUCUAUGGUGUCUCUUCUUACAGGGAAACUAAUUCUCCCAUGAGGAUGCCACCCUCAUGACCUCAUCUAAAACUAAUUAUCUCCCAAAAGGCCCAUCUUCAAAUCCCAAAUAUCACAAUGGGAAUGGGAGUUCCCACAUAGGAAUUUAAGGGAACACAACCCAGUUCAUAGCACUAUGCUCAGCUCAACCCUUUUUCUGAUCUUGGGAGUGAAUAUGCCCACCAAAAUUAUGAGUUUACUUUUGUUCUCGCAUGUUGGAAGCCUCACUGGACUGAUGGCGAUAAAGUGCCUGAUUCUUGGGUUUGGUAUUAACAGUUCCAUUUGGCUCACAACCUAAAUCCAGGCCUUCCACCCCAGUCUUCAUUGCAAUAAAAAUGAUAUUCUGGGCAUAUCG